UGCCAGACUCCUACGGGAGGCAGCAGUGGGGAAUAUUGCACAAUGGGGGAAACCCUGAUGCAGCGACGCCGCGUGAGUGAAGAAGUAAUUCGUUAUGUAAAGCUCUAUCAGCAGGGAAGAAAAUGACGGUACCUGAGUAAGAAGCCCCGGCUAACUACGUGCCAGCAGCCGCGGUAAUACGUAGGGGGCAAGCGUUAUCCGGAUUUACUGGGUGUAAAGGGAGCGUAGACGGCCAUGCAAGCCAGGGGUGAAAGCCCGGGGCCCAACCCCGGGACUGCCCUUGGAACUGCAUGGCUGGAGUGCGGGAGGGGCAGGCGGAAUUCCUGGUGUAGCGGUGAAAUGCGUAGAUAUUAGGAGGAACACCAGUGGCGAAGGCGGCCUGCUGGACGACAACUGACGGUGAGGCGCGAAAGCGUGGGGAGCAAACAGGAUUAGAUACCCUGGUAA
RNAcentral lists this ribosomal RNA (447 nucleotides) under uncultured bacterium. RNAcentral's name for it is "bacterial SSU rRNA". It matches the Rfam family "Bacterial small subunit ribosomal RNA", at positions 329 to 793 of the family's 1533-position model. The record is from RNAcentral.